UGGUGUGUGAGGGUGUCGACAGGAGCAAGAGAAAGAGAGGGGAAACCCUCCAACUUAACCAAAUCAGUAAAAUUGAAAGGGAAAUUGAAGCUUGAUUGUAUGCAUGAACACAAAUUCUCCAUCAUCUAAGUGUGCUUAACAUAAAGGAUAUGAACAAUAUUAGCGGACUCAAGCAUGGAGAGCUAACGAGUCAAGAUGAGGCAAGGAAACAAAUACGAAUACGGACGCAUAAGGUAAGUGAGUCUGAUUCACUUCUUAGUAUAUACAUAGAAUUUUCAUGUUUAUGAAUGUGGAGAAAUCAUGAAAGGUUGUGUAAGGAAUGAGAGUAUUAAGAUAAGUAUGGACUUACUUAGACGAAGGUAGAAUUCUAAGACGAAGGUAAAUUGUUGGAAUUAAACGGGUCGAAUAAAUGCGCAUAGGUAAUGUAACGGAAAUGAAAUUUGUAAAGAUUAAGGACCCAGGGUAAGGAUUUUUAGUCAGUUACAUAGGAAAAUGUUUUAUGGACAAUUAAAAACAAGUUUCAAGUGAAAUGGAUGCAAAACGAACAAGUUAUGCGAGUUUUAUUAUUAAAAUGGGGAGCUGAUCUGGGCACCACCGUAGCUUACGGUGCCCACCGUAGGCUACGGUGGGUGCUGAAACUUUUCUUCUGCCAUAGGGCAGUCCCUUCUCACCGUAGAAACUUUAAGGGCCACCGUAGGCUACGGCAGCCACCGUAGCUUACGGUGGACGUCAGGUGCAAAAUGUAAAGUUAUGCAUUUCUUUGUUUUUCUUUGAUUUCGGACCUCGUGAACCUGUCCCAAGCCCCGAUAAGCUUCUAUAAUGAACCUCAGCCCUACCAAAUGGCUUGAUAAGCUACGGGUGAGUACGUAACUCAUCUUUAAGAUCCGAAAUGUACCCGAAAUCACUUAAAAAGCGUUUAGGAAGCGUGAGUAAGAAUGGGGUGUGUAAGCGAGUGUGCGGGGAAAUGAAAUUAAGUUUGUGGGCUAGUAUGUAUAGGUUCAAUUUCAUUUCAAUAUGUGAAACUUUUAAGUAAUUAUAAAUAGGAGUAAGUAUGUAUGUAAGUUGUUCACUCAUGUUUUAUUACUCGGAGGUUGUAAUUAGGACACGUCAGUAAACCACUUUGAAUUAAACCACAUUGAAUUGGGUAAGUGCUACGUAUGAGCCUGUAUAUAUGUACGUAUGCAAGGGUGUAUGUAUUAGAUGACUCACUACAAAAAAAAAUAAGCCAUUUUGUUGCACACAUUUUUAAUGGCAUAUAGGUUUUGUGCCACUAAUUUUUGUUUUUAAUGGCACUUUAAGUAUUUAACACAUACAUUUAAUGGCAUUUAACUUUUAUGUUACUAAUCAAGGUUUUUAGUGGCAUUUUGCAUAUGCCACCAAAAUUUUCUGUAUGUUUUAAUGGCACUUUUCCUGUGCCACAAAAAUUUUGGAACAACCUGUUUAAAAUUUUCACCAAUUCUCUUUCAUCAAAAAUCAAUUUCCCUCCCCCAAAUAAUUUCAUAUUCCCGCUCAACAAAUUAAGCGGACAUAUAAAAACAAAUUGCGCUCUCAAAAUUACAAUUACUAGGGUUUAUCUCUACUAAUUCGCGCUCAAAUCUUCUCUCUCAAGUAAACCUCCUCACGUUCUCCGAUUCCUUACUCUACCGCAUCUCCGCCGUUCUCCACCUGAUCUCCGACGUUCUCCACCGAAUCUCCGUGGUUCUUCACCAGAUGAACCGAUUACAAUAAAGUAUAUGCUCUGUUCAAUUUGAUUUGUGCCCUAAUUUGUGUGAACAUGCUAUAUAAUUAUGAAUAAUAUAGUAACACAUUUGGAAUCUAAAGCCCUAGCUUAUAUUUCAUAAUUGGACACCUACCGGUUAGGUUUUUUCAUGCUCUAAUGGUUAUAUGGUAGUCAGUUUGAGUAAUUGUUGAUUUGUUUUUUUUUUUGCUGAAGAUGCUUAUAAUUAGGGCUUAGGCGUUCUAUACGGAGUCAGUGACACGAUUUCAUAAUCUGGAUAGAUUACGUGGCGUAUUUACUCUUAUAUCAACAGGUUAAAGCUACAGUUUUAUUAUAUAUAAAGUUUUGUGGAUCGAAGAUUUUGUUUGUUUGUAGUGAAAUGGGAAAAAAUGGAUCGGUGAUUGUGUCGUUUGUCUUAUUGUUCAUCGUUUUUGGUCCAUUUGAUGCGAGCAAUUCGAGGAAAUUAGUUACAAUUCAGGAUCUAAACGGCAGUUCUAACGCAAAUCAGAGCCGGCAAAACGAGCGGGUCGGGUCGGCCAGGUGAUUGGUCACUAGUCACGGGGUUCGGGUCAGUAUGAGUUCGGGUUAGGACAUGUUUGAGCAAAGGGUACUUCAGAAGCAAAAUGGUACCUGAAAUUACUGGCAUUACAUGUCUCACACUUGCAAUAAGGAUUGAAGAAAACCAGCUCUACAACAGGUAUGUUUUUUUAACAACCGAAGUUUGGGUUGUGAAAGCAAGAUGAAAACUUCGGACACCCUGCUACUGGACACUGCAGGUCCCGAUUUGUCUAACUUUACAAAUCCGGCAGCAGAGGCGGUGACUGCGACUCUGUAAAGCCAUUUCACAUGCCAAGCCAAUGUAACCGAAAUUGAAAGAGCUUGGUGUUAGGAAUUUCGGAGUCGCAAGGUUGAUUUGCUUUGGGUUUGUAUAAAGUUGAAUAUAGUGAAUUGGCUGGUGCGGUGACAGUAAGAAGUAAGUGCAGGGAACAACUAUGAAGUGGGAAAUACGAUUACGAAGAAAGAGUUAACACAAUGAAUAUUUUACUCGAAUGAAGAUUGUUAAAAAGAUUCAUGAACGCAAUGGAGUUUUGAGUUCUUGUUCAAACAUUUUUUGAAUAUUGGUUUUGUAUGUUCGAUAUUUAGACUUAGGUUGACAUUUAUUAGUUAUUUCUUUGCAAACAUUUGGAAUCUUUGGAAGAUGAUUGAUUGAACUUUUUAAUUGAAUUGAUUA
RNAcentral lists this long non-coding RNA (2948 nucleotides) under Helianthus annuus (common sunflower). RNAcentral's name for it is "hypothetical non coding rna". The record is from RNAcentral. Lineage: Eukaryota; Viridiplantae; Streptophyta; Magnoliopsida; Asterales; Asteraceae.